AUGUUCCUGAAAUGUCCGGUUGUACCUAUUUAUUUUGAACCUACAGUAGACAUACGGGAGCCCGACGUUUUUAUUUGUAGCACAGGCCUCAAGAUAAUACCGACAUCGGCGGACAGACCGGUGCAACGGCGGAGGAAGUGCGAAGAAUAAAUCAGGGCACCCACCUGGCGAUUGGCUAGGUGUCAAAAUAUAGGGAAACGGCAUUUUGGGGCAUGA
Molecule: non-coding RNA, 216 nt
Filed under: Clostridiaceae bacterium
Lineage: Bacteria; Bacillati; Bacillota; Clostridia; Eubacteriales; Clostridiaceae
Description: 6S RNA
Rfam family: 6S / SsrS RNA
About the family: E. coli 6S RNA was the first non coding RNA to be sequenced, but its function was unknown until recently. It consists of 184 nucleotides that fold into an extended hairpin structure with a large single-stranded internal bulge.
Source: RNAcentral